UACGUAGGGGGCGAGCGUUAUCCGGAAUUAUUGGGCGUAAAGAGUGCGUAGGUGGUCUUGUAAGCGUGGGGUGAAAGGCAGUGGCUUAACCAUUGUUAGCCUUGCGAACUGUGAGACUUGAGUGCAGGAGAGGAAAGUGGAAUUCCUAGUGUAGCGGUGAAAUGCGUAGAUAUUAGGAGGAACACCAGUGGCGAAGGCGACUUUCUGGACUGUAACUGACACUGAGGCACGAAAGCGUGGGGAGCAAACAGGAUUAGAUACCCUGGUA
RNAcentral lists this ribosomal RNA (268 nucleotides) under uncultured prokaryote. RNAcentral describes it as "partial 16S ribosomal RNA". It matches the Rfam family "Bacterial small subunit ribosomal RNA", at positions 524 to 792 of the family's 1533-position model. The record is from RNAcentral.